RNAcentral lists this microRNA (23 nucleotides) under Tribolium castaneum (red flour beetle). Its description in RNAcentral is "tca-miR-3851d-2-5p". Lineage: Eukaryota; Metazoa; Arthropoda; Insecta; Coleoptera; Tenebrionidae. The record is from miRBase by way of RNAcentral.
AGUGCACAUGGGGUGGUACUGUG